GACGAACGCUGGCGGCGUGCUUAACACAUGCAAGUCGAACGGAAAGGCCCUGCUUUUGUGGGGUGCUCGAGUGGCGAACGGGUGAGUAGCACGUGAGUAACCUGCCCUUGACUUUGGGAUAACUUCAGGAAACUGGGGCUAAUACCGGAUAGGAGCUCCUGCUGCAUGGUGGGGGUUGGAAAGUUUCGGCGGUUGGGGAUGGACUCGCGGCUUAUCAGCUUGUUGGUGGGGUAGUGGCUUACCAAGGCUUUGACGGGUAGCCGGCCUGAGAGGGUGACCGGCCACAUUGGGACUGAGAUACGGCCCAGACUCCUACGGGAGGCAGCAGUGGGGAAUAUUGCACAAUGGGCGGAAGCCUGAUGCAGCAACGCCGCGUGCGGGAUGACGGCCUUCGGGUUGUAAGCCGCUUUCGCCUGUGACGAAGCGUGAGUGACGGUAAUGGGUAAAGAAGCACCGGCUAACUACGUG
RNAcentral lists this ribosomal RNA (468 nucleotides) under uncultured bacterium. Its description in RNAcentral is "partial 16S ribosomal RNA". It matches the Rfam family "Bacterial small subunit ribosomal RNA", at positions 28 to 507 of the family's 1533-position model. The record is from RNAcentral.